GGUUUAGAGUUGAUGUUUCAUGGUUUAGGGUUUAGAGUUGAUGAUUUAGGGUUUAGAGUUGAUGUUUUAAGUUUAGACUUAGGUUUAGGGCUUACGUUUUAGGGGUUAGAGUUGAUGUUUUAGGGUUUAGAUUUGAAGGUUUAGGAUUUAGGAUUUAGAGUUGAUGUUUCGCGGUUUAGGGUUUAGAGUUGAUAUUUCAUGGUUUAGGGUUUAGAGUUGAUGAUUUAGGGUUUAGAGUUAAUGUUUUAAGUUUAGAUUACUUAACUAUAUGUUUUUUUUGUCAAAGUUAAUCAAAGGGUUAUAAAUGUAUUUUACCCUUCAUUAAAGAUGAGGGUAAAAGUGGUUAUUGUAAACAUGAAAAGUGGUUUUUGGCAAUUUUUCCUAAAAUAUACUAUUACAAAAA
RNAcentral lists this long non-coding RNA (403 nucleotides) under Brassica napus (rape). Its description in RNAcentral is "long non-coding RNA (BNAP_LNC019490)". Lineage: Eukaryota; Viridiplantae; Streptophyta; Magnoliopsida; Brassicales; Brassicaceae. The record is from RNAcentral.